CGCCGACAGACCGCCGAACGGACAAGGUUUUCCCUGUACCGCGGACAGAGUCUCCCCCGUACAUUCAAGGCGUCGCAAUCAAUACAAUAUACAAAGUUCCAACCAGGAACACAUUUCAAUCAAAAAUUGCAUAAGGAAGUAUCAAAAACAUAAUCUACUUGUUAUUGCAAGCAUUCACAUUCAUACAUUUUACAUCCCAAAUACUUAUUACAUUCAACUUUCAAAUACAAUCCGAUUUAACAUGAUUAUUACAACUUGAUUCUUUUCAUUUUCUGCAACCUUAAGCAAAGCCGAUUCAGGGUACCGCUAUCUCUGGUCUCGGUGGUAGGGUGCUAACUAUGAUGCUACGCCCUCGCCUCGCGCCGCCGCGCCGCUCACGUGUGAACCUGUAACACCCCAAAACCACGUGGGGUGAGAACCAACUCCAUGGUUCCCAGUGGGUACGGCCACCCAAGGGAAAAGCUCGACCAAUAGGUCCAAGGGAGGCAACUGCAAGUUAGUUCAAUAAACAGAUAGAUAUGUAUCUUGAUUAUGCAACGAAUAAAACCAUGCAUUGCCUCACGAAUGCAAUAUGAAGAUCAUGCAAUGAUGCGACUAUACAAUCAACUAGUAAUUCAAUCGAUUACUACUUUCAUCCAAUUGAUAUUUAAGGUUUUCUGUCAUUUACCAUUUUAAUCAUAAAGUUUCAUCUAUCUUUACAAAGCUAACUAUCCGACUCGGUCUUGAGUCAAUCGUCUGCGGAGUACCGCACAAAGCCAGGCCCGAGGCGAAGGACGUCUCACUUGCACCUCGGCCUUAAAUCCCCUCAACUAGGACAUCACUAUAGCUCAUAAGUUUAUUACCCAAUCACUUGGCUAACCCGAAGGUUUCGCCCUCAACAAACUCACCAAUCCAAAAUCCCAUUAACCAGGGAGAUACUCGCUACAACCCGGUGGGACCGUCCUCUCGGGAGAUAACCGCUACAACCCAGUGAUGUCGACUCCGGAGCACAUCGCCCGAGGGGGAGCUACCACAACCUCGAGCAAAGACUAAAGGUGAGUAUGAUCAAUGAUCAAAUCCAAAAUCUUCAGGAUGUCAAGUUCAAUCCAUUCCUUAACUUUAGGAAGACUAUGCUCAAAUGACCCUAACUCUAGGGUUGAAAAGUCAUAAUAUUUCAAUCAUUCUUUUCUUUACAUUCUUUACUAUCACUUGUGUCAUAUACACUACUAUAUUCUUGGACUCAUGCCAUACUUGUUUUCUAAGUGUUCAACAUGCUAUAAGUGUUUCCACUAUACUAAUCAUAUGCCACUCGAUCUAAUAUAUAUAGAUUGUCCACGUCACAUAUCAUAGUUCAUAUGUCAUUGUUUUUCAAUGUCGAGUUCCCUAAUUCACCUAGAGUUUAUCGACCCAAGUUCAACAUGCAUGUGUCAUUUAACAUAAUCCACAAUAUGUCAAUAUACAUUCAUCUAGUAUAUUCUAUAAUAAAUCAACAUGCACUCAUUCAUCAUAUUCCACAAUAUGUCUACAUAUAUAUGCCAACCAUUCAUAUGCCAUCCAACAUGUUCCAUAAUUUAUCAACAUGCAUAUUACCUCUAACAUAUUACUAUAACAUUAUUUUCAUGCAUUCAUGUAACAAUUAACUCAUGCAUUCAUCUAGCAUUUAACACAUUAUAUGUCAUUAUGCAUGUUAUCUCAACAGUAAGUAACAUCGACUAUAUGCAUCAAUUAGAAAACCAUUACUCUUAGACAUAUAGGCGACCUAGUCGCUUUGGUGAGUACAACCCACCUCAUUUCGCAUUCCGAUUGCUUGUCGACACUUGCAAUCGGCCUCCCGCGGCACCCGGCACCCGGUUUGGCCCGAUCUCUUGCGCGACCACCCGAACGGCCUCCAAUUCACAAUCCGAAAAUUAAAGGUCUUCGGUUAUGUGCCACGAUGCUUCAAAUCCGUUUUCAUGAGUAUACGAUGUCGUCUCGGCCCUCCAGGCGGAAACGAAGCCUAAACGUCUGUUUCUUUAAUAACUUCGCAACGGCUCAACGAAUCGCCGAACCGACUUCGCCAACGCGUUCGUUUACCUAGCAAUUAGGUUUACGGAGGGUCAAAUUAGAUCAAACCCUUAUAUUUUAAAAAACCCAUUCGGAGCCCUAAUAUGCAAUUAACUUCCAAUUAAUCCAAAUUAAAUGGAGAUAACAUGUUUAGAACACUCUAGAUACUACUAGAACAUCAUUCAUGAAGGAUUUAAACAAAAUCCCAAACUCUUACCAAAACGUGAACGCCGCGACGAAAACACGCCGCUCCAACGGGCGCACGAAAGCUCGAUCCGUCGCUCCCAACGCGUUCGCAAGCAUCUUCUCCGCCAACACCGCGAAUUUGAGCGAGAGAUAUAGAGAGAUGAGAGAGAAAUCUAGAGAGAGAAAGAAAGCUUUCUCUCUUCCCACCAUGUAUGCGGG
Molecule: long non-coding RNA, 2427 nt
Filed under: Ananas comosus (pineapple)
Lineage: Eukaryota; Viridiplantae; Streptophyta; Magnoliopsida; Poales; Bromeliaceae
Description: long non-coding RNA (ACOM_LNC026070)
Source: RNAcentral